Molecule: long non-coding RNA, 1100 nt
Organism: Lepidothrix coronata (blue-crowned manakin)
Lineage: Eukaryota; Metazoa; Chordata; Aves; Passeriformes; Pipridae
Exons: 3
Source: RefSeq, a predicted model, not a curated record
GUGAUCUCAUGGCUGCUGGGGGGACAGGAUGGAACCACAGCCAUGAUAUUCCUCUCGAGGACAUCUGGGCCUGAGGGAGGUUUAGCUGACCAGCAGAUCAGGGUGGAACACACUGCAGAGCAGACAGGCAGCCCCAAAAUCCUGUCAUCUGCUCCUGCCAAGUGCCUGAUGCCCAGCUGUGUGUGGCUAAACCUGCCCAGUGGAGAAGAGCCAUGCUGAAAAUAAGCUUGUGCUUCGCUAUUUCCGUGCACAGCUGGGUGAUGAAGGAGCCAAGGAAUUUGUGGCCCUGGUCCAACACAGGUCUUUGGGUUCCCAUCCAUCCAUCCCCUGCCAGUCCCACAGACCACCGAGCAGGAACUGGGCACCUCACCUUGCACAGGGCAGGAACUGCAUCCCCUGAUCACCCCGGUCUUGUUUGCCUUGGUGGCUGUCCACUGGUAGAUGAAGAGGAUGGUGCGGGACGGGCCAGCAUCCAGAACGAUGCCAUACUGGAAAACCCGCAAAAUAUUCCAGGAGAGAAUGAAGCCAGGAGAUGAUGAGGAUUUGCAGGGAAUCAUCUGCAUUCCUGAAUAUACAUGAGGAACAGCAGGAAUGGAGAAAUGCCCAGAAACACAUCAGGCCUCCAGUGGCACCCUCUGGAGCUGUUCCUGAAACCAGGCAGAGGGCUUCCACCAGAGCUCAGCCACCUGGAGCUCAGGAAAAACAGGUCCUAGAGCAGUGGGAGAUGGCACUGUACAGGUUCUCCACUCAGUCUGGGGCUCAAACUGCUGCUGAUUGGUUUGCUAAGGCUUUUGUGCAGGAAUGGGAGGGCUGUGGCUUGUUUCUCCUGAGGAACCCGACACUCCCAUGUCUCUUUGACGCCCCAGUGCAGCGAUGGUGUGACAUGGGCUGGGUUUGCCCCAGUGUGUGCAGAGCUGUGGGAGCUGCAGCACGCUGGGACCAACCAGCACAGGCACUGUGUGAGGUGGCAGCCCCACAGAGACAGAGACAAUGUCUUGGCAGAAUGAGCAGAGCAGUGACCAUGAGCUUUCUCAACCCCUUGUCCCCCAACAGCUCUGCUACUGCCCAGCUGUGGGGCUGAGGCAUCUCUGCCUCUCUGC